This 83-nucleotide transfer RNA is filed under the name Wenjunlia tyrosinilytica. RNAcentral's name for it is "tRNA-Val". The record is from RNAcentral. Lineage: Bacteria; Bacillati; Actinomycetota; Actinomycetes; Kitasatosporales; Streptomycetaceae.
GACCCGUCCUCGCAGAGGACGGCCAGCCGCUGACACCGGCUCCCACCCGGUCGGCACCGGCUCCGAUGCCGGUGGCGGCUCUC